CUGCCGGCGACCGGCGCACGGGUGAGUAACACGUAUGGAACCUGCCCGCAGCAGGGGGUAAGCGGAAGAAAUUCCGUCUAAUACCGCGUAACAACGUUGGGAGGCAUCUCCCGAUGUUUAAAGAUUUAUCGGCUGCGGAUGGCCAUGCGGCGCAUUAGCUAGUCGGCGGGGUAACGGCCCACCGAGGCGACGAUGCGUAGGGGUUCUGAGAGGAAGGUCCCCCACACUGGUACUGAGACACGGACCAGACUCCUACGGGAGGCAGCAG
This 268-nucleotide ribosomal RNA is filed under the name uncultured bacterium. Its description in RNAcentral is "partial 16S ribosomal RNA". It matches the Rfam family "Bacterial small subunit ribosomal RNA", at positions 85 to 354 of the family's 1533-position model. The record is from RNAcentral.